GGGUCACUUCAAAGAGGGUUUGCGUGGCUGAAAAACCAGCAGCUCUUAACGCAGUGACCGUACAUUGAAAUCCUCUGCAGGAUGCUGUGGACACGUUGUGUGUGCUGUGGUCUAUUUCUGAGGAGAUAAAACC
Molecule: small nucleolar RNA, 133 nt
Organism: Anser brachyrhynchus (Pink-footed goose)
Lineage: Eukaryota; Metazoa; Chordata; Aves; Anseriformes; Anatidae
Source: Ensembl